RNAcentral lists this ribosomal RNA (210 nucleotides) under uncultured bacterium. RNAcentral describes it as "partial 16S ribosomal RNA". It matches the Rfam family "Bacterial small subunit ribosomal RNA", at positions 148 to 353 of the family's 1533-position model. The record is from RNAcentral.
AGUUAGGAAAUGACUGCUAAUACCGCAUAAGCGCACAGUGCUGCGAUGGCACAGUGUGAAAAACUCCGGUGGUAUGAGAUGGACCCGCGUCUGAUUAGGCUAGUUGGUGGGGUAACGGCCUACCAAGGCGACGAUCAGUAGCCGGCCUGAGAGGGUGAACGGCCACAUUGGGACUGAGACACGGCCCAAACUCCUACGGGAGGCAGCAUG